RNAcentral lists this ribosomal RNA (506 nucleotides) under uncultured bacterium. RNAcentral describes it as "partial 16S ribosomal RNA". It matches the Rfam family "Bacterial small subunit ribosomal RNA", at positions 29 to 523 of the family's 1533-position model. The record is from RNAcentral.
AGUGAACGCUGGCGGUAGGCCUAACACAUGCAAGUCGAACGGCAGCACAGGAGAGCUUGCUCUCUGGGUGGCGGGUGGCGGACGGGUGAGGAAUACAUCGGAAUCUACUCUGUCGUGGGGGAUAACGUAGGGAAACUUACGCUAAUACCGCAUGCGACCUACGGGUGAAAGCAGGGGACCUUCGGGCCUUGCGCGAUUGAAUGAGCCGAUGUCGGAUUAGCUAGUUGGCGGGGUCAAGGCCCACCAAGGCGACGAUCCGUAGCUGGUCUGAGAGGAGGAUCAGCCACACUGGAACGGAGACACGGUCCAGACUCCUACGGGAGGCAGCAGUGGGGAAUAUUGGACAAUGGGCGCAAGCCUGAUCCAGCCAUACCGCGUGGGUGAAGAAGGCCUUCGGGUUGUAAAGCCCUUUUGUUGGGAAAGAAAUCCAGCUGGCUAAUACCCGGUUGGGAUGACGGUACCCAAAGAAUAAGCACCGGCUAACUUCGUGCCAGCCGCCGCGGUAA